RNAcentral lists this ribosomal RNA (89 nucleotides) under Vibrio parahaemolyticus. Lineage: Bacteria; Pseudomonadati; Pseudomonadota; Gammaproteobacteria; Vibrionales; Vibrionaceae. The record is from RNAcentral.
GGUAGUUAUGGCGAGAAGGUCACACCCGUUCCCAUCCCGAACACGGUAGUUAAGCUUCUCUGCGCCAAUGGUAGUUGGGGGCUUCCCCC